UUAAGCGACUAAGCGUACACGGUGGAUGCCCUGGCAGUCAGAGGCGAUGAAGGACGUGCUAAUCUGCGAUAAGCGUCGGUGAGGUGAUAUGAACCGUUAUAACCGGCGAUUUCCGAAUGGGGAAACCCAGUGUGUUUCGACACACUAUCAUUAACUGAAUCCAUAGGUUAAUGAGGCGAACCGGGGGAACUGAAACAUCUAAGUACCCCGAGGAAAAGAAAUCAACCGAGAUUCCCCCAGUAGCGGCGAGCGAACGGGGAGGAGCCCAGAGCCUGAAUCAGUGUGUGUGUUAGUGGAAGCGUCUGGAAAGGCGUGCGAUACAGGGUGACAGCCCCGUACACAAAAAUGCACAUAUUGUGAGCUCGAUGAGUAGGGCGGGACACGUGGUAUCCUGUCUGAAUAUGGGGGGACCAUCCUCCAAGGCUAAAUACUCCUGACUGACCGAUAGUGAACCAGUACCGUGAGGGAAAGGCGAAAAGAACCCCGGCGAGGGGAGUGAAAAAGAACCUGAAACCGUGUACGUACAAGCAGUGGGAGCCUCUUAAUGGGGUGACUGCGUACCUUUUGUAUAAUGGGUCAGCGACUUAUAUUCUGUAGCAAGGUUAACCGAAUAGGGGAGCCGAAGGGAAACCGAGUCUUAACUGGGCGUUAAGUUGCAGGGUAUAGACCCGAAACCCGGUGAUCUAGCCAUGGGCAGGUUGAAGGUUGGGUAACACUAACUGGAGGACCGAACCGACUAAUGUUGAAAAAUUAGCGGAUGACUUGUGGCUGGGGGUGAAAGGCCAAUCAAACCGGGAGAUAGCUGGUUCUCCCCGAAAGCUAUUUAGGUAGCGCCUCGUGAAUUCAUCUCCGGGGGUAGAGCACUGUUUCGGCAAGGGGGUCAUCCCGACUUACCAACCCGAUGCAAACUGCGAAUACCGGAGAAUGUUAUCACGGGAGACACACGGCGGGUGCUAACGUCCGUCGUGAAGAGGGAAACAACCCAGACCGCCAGCUAAGGUCCCAAAGUCAUGGUUAAGUGGGAAACGAUGUGGGAAGGCCCAGACAGCCAGGAUGUUGGCUUAGAAGCAGCCAUCAUUUAAAGAAAGCGUAAUAGCUCACUGGUCGAGUCGGCCUGCGCGGAAGAUGUAACGGGGCUAAACCAUGCACCGAAGCUGCGGCAGCGACACUAUGUGUUGUUGGGUAGGGGAGCGUUCUGUAAGCCUGUGAAGGUGGCCUGUGAGGGUUGCUGGAGGUAUCAGAAGUGCGAAUGCUGACAUAAGUAACGAUAAAGCGGGUGAAAAGCCCGCUCGCCGGAAGACCAAGGGUUCCUGUCCAACGUUAAUCGGGGCAGGGUGAGUCGACCCCUAAGGCGAGGCCGAAAGGCGUAGUCGAUGGGAAACAGGUUAAUAUUCCUGUACUUGGUGUUACUGCGAAGGGGGGACGGAGAAGGCUAUGUUGGCCGGGCGACGGUUGUCCCGGUUUAAGCGUGUAGGCUGGUUUUCCAGGCAAAUCCGGAAAACCAAGGCUGAGGCGUGAUGACGAGGCACUACGGUGCUGAAGCGACAAAUGCCCUGCUUCCAGGAAAAGCCUCUAAGCAUCAGGUAACAUCAAAUCGUACCCCAAACCGACACAGGUGGUCAGGUAGAGAAUACCAAGGCGCUUGAGAGAACUCGGGUGAAGGAACUAGGCAAAAUGGUGCCGUAACUUCGGGAGAAGGCACGCUGAUAUGUAGGUGAAGCGACUUGCUCGUGGAGCUGAAAUCAGUCGAAGAUACCAGCUGGCUGCAACUGUUUAUUAAAAACACAGCACUGUGCAAACACGAAAGUGGACGUAUACGGUGUGACGCCUGCCCGGUGCCGGAAGGUUAAUUGAUGGGGUUAGCGGCAACGCGAAGCUCUUGAUCGAAGCCCCGGUAAACGGCGGCCGUAACUAUAACGGUCCUAAGGUAGCGAAAUUCCUUGUCGGGUAAGUUCCGACCUGCACGAAUGGCGUAAUGAUGGCCAGGCUGUCUCCACCCGAGACUCAGUGAAAUUGAACUCGCUGUGAAGAUGCAGUGUACCCGCGGCAAGACGGAAAGACCCCGUGAACCUUUACUAUAGCUUGACACUGAACAUUGAGCCUUGAUGUGUAGGAUAGGUGGGAGGCUUUGAAGUGUGGACGCCAGUCUGCAUGGAGCCGACCUUGAAAUACCACCCUUUAAUGUUUGAUGUUCUAACGUUGGCCCGUAAUCCGGGUUGCGGACAGUGUCUGGUGGGUAGUUUGACUGGGGCGGUCUCCUCCUAAAGAGUAACGGAGGAGCACGAAGGUUGGCUAAUCCUGGUCGGACAUCAGGAGGUUAGUGCAAUGGCAUAAGCCAGCUUGACUGCGAGCGUGACGGCGCGAGCAGGUGCGAAAGCAGGUCAUAGUGAUCCGGUGGUUCUGAAUGGAAGGGCCAUCGCUCAACGGAUAAAAGGUACUCCGGGGAUAACAGGCUGAUACCGCCCAAGAGUUCAUAUCGACGGCGGUGUUUGGCACCUCGAUGUCGGCUCAUCACAUCCUGGGGCUGAAGUAGGUCCCAAGGGUAUGGCUGUUCGCCAUUUAAAGUGGUACGCGAGCUGGGUUUAGAACGUCGUGAGACAGUUCGGUCCCUAUCUGCCGUGGGCGCUGGAGAACUGAGGGGGGCUGCUCCUAGUACGAGAGGACCGGAGUGGACGCAUCACUGGUGUUCGGGUUGUCAUGCCAAUGGCACUGCCCGGUAGCUAAAUGCGGAAGAGAUAAGUGCUGAAAGCAUCUAAGCACGAAACUUGCCCCGAGAUGAGUUCUCCCUGACUCCUUGAGGGUCCUGAAGGAACGUUGAAGACGACGACGUUGAUAGGCCGGGUGUGUAAGCGCAGCGAUGCGUUGAGCUAACCGGUACUAAUGAACCGUGAGGCUUAAC
This 2899-nucleotide ribosomal RNA is filed under the name Escherichia coli HVH 156 (4-3206505). RNAcentral describes it as "bacterial LSU rRNA". It matches the Rfam family "Bacterial large subunit ribosomal RNA". Lineage: Bacteria; Pseudomonadati; Pseudomonadota; Gammaproteobacteria; Enterobacterales; Enterobacteriaceae. The record is from RNAcentral.